CCUUAAACAAGCUCGCAUACACACUCAUCUCUGCUGACGAGUCACCUGAAGGGAGUGAUUUGAAGGCCGAAAAAAAAAAAAAAAUUAGACGCAAUUGUAUCCCAAGCAAAGUUAACUGCGUGAGUUAAGAAGGGCUGGCUGGAAAUUUAGCGUCAUCGGGGCACAGGGAAUGGAAGAAGCAGAGGCAACCAGAGCCAGCGUCCUUGCCCUGCAGAAGCCACAGAGUAUUUUAGCUCGGAGCUGCUGCUCUGCCCUGGCUUGGUUCUUCCUACGGGUUACCUUGAACGGAAACCAAUUUUUUCGACCUUAAGAGGAAUUUCACAGGGUUCCAAAGAUGCUGCCCACAGAAGCCAUAGUGUAUCAACCGCUCUGUCACAAUUCAUCGAGCUUGGUGAGGCGUUACAAUGGGACUCUGUACAUCUGGGGUUUUUUUUUCUCUUGGUACGUGGCAAACCGAGGGUAGUUUUAUCUCCCACAACAGGGCCUUGGCAGUCAAGGAAUUUCUGACGUUUGUCAGAUACCAGCGCCUUCUUUGGAAUUCUCAGCCAACUCAAGGACCGUUAAGAUUAUUAGUGAAAAUUCACGAGCAACUACCUGGUAACCAGAUGUCUUAUAUGCAUAUUCUUACAGGGGGGUUUAUGAGAGUUUGACUAAAUGUCUCAUGUGCACUGUAUUUUUAAAACCAAAUGCUAUCAGGACAAGUGAAAUUGCAAUUGUCCUAAAGAACCCUGGUUGCAGAGUUGCUCUAACUAAAACUAAACUAACCUCCCUCCCUGGCAGGUACACAAACACAAAAGACAACUUUGCAAGAGGGCUUCCGUCUGCCCAUUUUCAGAGCCAAAGGGCUACCCACUUCAAUAUAGGCUCCAUGGCCACAGACUAAACAAUAAACCCCUACAUCAUUGGAAAAUAAAACAAAACAAAACAAAACAAAACAAACAACAACUGUGUCUUGUGACUUGAAGUUGUUUGUGAUAACCAUUAGUUUUAACUAACUUGUCUUGCCAAAACGGUUGGAUUGCUCAUGAGAUAAGAGGGCAAAAUGUCCUUCAACAUGUUUCAAAUAAACAUUUAGUGUGUGUGUGUGUAGGUGAGCUGAAAAAAAGAAAUUGGAUUUGGUUACUUUUACAAUUAGUGUAAAAAUCAGAGGAUGGAUGAGUUAAUCCUUCUAAUCUGCCGGUAUUUGAAAUUCACAUGCUCAAAACCUUGCUAGGAAAGACAAGCCCCUGCCUUUAAAGAGAUUUUCAUUUAAUCAGGAGGGAGGUUGGUAUGGAUUAUACCUUUGGAGGAAUUUAAGGCCACCUUCAUCUUCACUUUCUCAGUGCCCAGCAGAGUGCCUGGCACACAAAUCCUAGCAAAAUUUUAAUUGAAGGGUGCAUUUCCCUCCAUGCUAAAUUCUCUGGUAUAGAAUUCAAUGGCUAUGGCUUUACCACGGAGAAGGGAGGGUUUCAGAGAUUCAGAUGGGGGAUGGAAGACAUAGUGGUUUGAGCCAGCACAGCAGGGCAAGGAGGAGAGGUGAGUCCUGGUGAGGAGAGGCAGCAAGGCAAGACCCUGGCAGUGGUGGUGGCGGGGGAGGAAGGAAGGAUGGGCUCCAUACAGUUGCCUGACCCGAGCUCCAGAUGCCUGUGUGCGCAGGUCUGAGGCUAAGGGGAAACAGAGGCCAACUCUAGGGGGCCAGGCAGAAGUAUUUAAAAAACCCAUUGGUUACAAUAAAUCUGAAGGCAGAGAGUUUGAGGAGUACAGCUAAGUUCUGAGGGUAUAAACUGCUACCACCCUAGACGAACUCUGCUAUACCCUCAUGUACUCUGAUUCCCACAGAACUGCCCCUUCCCGCCUCUGAAAUACCUGGUGUCCGCAGUCACAGGCACUCACCUGCUUUAAUAAUGCAGAAAGGCAAGUGACUUGAGAAAUAGACUCUACAACUGAACUCGAUCAGAGAAAAGACACGACAAGUUUUAUUUCUUCACGGGGCAGCUGGAUAUAGCUGCAGAAGUAUGUCAUUCCCUUUGCCCAUCACGGAAACAAAUAUCAAACAAGGAACCUGUCUGAUGAGGUCAAGAAACAACAGCCUGCGUUGCAGAGAUGUGUCCUGCAUCAAGGCUGGCUCUUAGAGGGCGUGGGGGAGAGGGGGUAUGUGGAAUGUUUUGAUUUUCAUACAGUUCCCAAAUGUUGUGCUGGACGAAAUCGAGAACUAUUUCUUGGAUGGAAUAAAGGUGGUAAAUGAAACAACUAAUCACAACCAACAUCUUUGGUUUUCCUGUCAGAAGGAGAGAAGACGAGUCUCUUGCUGUCUGAGGAGGCUCAUGGGGAUGACGCCAAGGGAAAGGUGCCGGGUUCAGUCUGAGACGCGCUGCGGCAGGAUUCUUGCGCGAGGCUUGCAAAGAUCAGUGAGCGGAAGGCUGGAGCCAGGCACUGCUUCAACACGGUUUGAAUGUGGCAGGACAGGGGAGAAGAGUUAAUGAUCUCCAGCCACAGAGCGGCUUCCCAUAUCCUUUAUGUUAGCUGUACCUUGUUAACAUAUCAGUGUAUGGGCUGUAGGGUGACUUCUAAGCCUUUCUGUCUCUCUUUGGGGAUUAAAAAAAAAAAACACAACAAAAAAACCCACCUUGUGACUGCCCCAUCACUUUACAAAUUCAUUAUUUACACUCCAAUUGAUUUCAGGAGAGAAGCGCCCACACUCAUGGGCACGCGUGUGACAACGAUUCCUUCAAAGCGUGUUGGGAAUCCGAUUUAACAAAGCUCUGAUGUACACAGCAACACAUAACGAAGGGAUUUACUGUCAAAACGUUUAUUGCAAAAUGGAGUCUUAAAACAAAGGAAAGCAAAGAGAAGUUCACAUCAAGGUAAAAUGUAUGACACCAACUUGGAUUUCUGGAUACAUUGUGGACUUUGGGCUGGAAUAUCAAAUUCCAACCAUGAAGUCAGUAACUCAGUAGUCUUACCACACAUAAGUAAAAUUUUAAUCUUCCAUACAAACACGAUACAAGAUUUUUGGCAUAGGACUUGCUCAGAAUAACAUUGCUAUAGAAUAAUUGAGAAAACCAUUUUUUUUUAAACAAUAAAGUGAUAACGCCAUCUAUUCAAAGCUCACACUCAAAGAAUAUAAAUAAUUUCUAUCAUUUAGUACAAAAUCUUUAAAACAGUGCAAAAGCAAUAUGUGCAGUGUAUAGAGUAUCUGACAUUAAAAGAUCUGUUAUUCUGCACAUGAUAUAAAAUAGUUAAUGUAGGUGCACGAAACUCUAGGUUUGAAGUAAAUAAUCCCACACCAGAAAGCUCCUCACAGGCUAUGGAGCGCAAACUAAGCUGGAGGCCGAGGAAACGGGGCUAGUCCCCCAGGUGUCCUGGUGGACACUUGUUUCUGAUCAGGGAAGCCACAUCCAGGGCUAGCAGGCUAUGCCACCACUGAAAGAACAGAACCAAUGCUUCUCCCUGGCAACGCUUAAUAUAAACAGGAAAACAGUCUUACCCCAAAGCAGCAAAAGGCACCUGAUUAUAGAAAAAUUAUGCUCUAUGAUGCAUGUGGCAGAGUGACACUCUGCUAGUUUCAAAGGCAGCAACAAGUCUAGUGUAUCAAAAAAAAAAUUAAAAAAGGAUCGAGAUUUAACUCAGAAUGUUUUAAAAUUACCUUUCAUGAAAUUCUGACCACUCCAAUGGAGACUCCGAAAAAUUCAGUUGUGUACAUUGUAGCGCCAUGAGACAUCAUUUCUGAUCUCUUCUAAACUGCGCGCCCCACCCCAAUUCCUCGGUUUUCCCUGGGAUCAAGUUGGAAUUCCCCAAGUGGUCGUAAAGGCUAACAGACCCACUGCAUAUUAGGAUCAUUGGCUGAAAACAUAAAUAAAUAAAACUACUGGCUGAAAAUGGACCCUCAACAUCUCCAGAGCAUUGAAAACAAGUGUGCUCUGUGCCUCCCACCUCUUCCCAUUGCUUAUUUAUGCAAAAUAUUAAAAUGUGAUCUUGCUUACAUCAAAAGACUGUUCAGAAACGGGUCCUUUUAAAUUAUCCUGCCUACUUUGCAGAAUUAUAGGUACUUCAGUGAUAUUUUUAAAAAUUUAUAGUGGAAUCAGGGCAAAGAGAGAGUGACAUCCUCCCCUCUCCCGCUAAAUUGAGCUGUUUGAUCAAGUUUCCACCAGUGUGCUUAAGGGGAAAAAAACCAUUUCCACAAGAGAGGCCUUAAGAUAAGUGGCACAAAUCUACCAAAUUCAGAAUGUGUAAGUGGCUGUAAUUCUGCAAAUGCAUCUUUUGACUUGGGUAAGUUCAUGUCGGGGAGAAAAAGUAAGAUGUGGAAUUCUAAAACUGCCAGGUUUAGCUAAGUUUCUCAGUGGAGGAAGGGACGAUCCUAUGGGUAUUUUGGAUGGAAUUCUUUAUAGGGUGGGACUGUCCCUGGGCCAAGGGAUGUUACCACUUUGGACACUGGGCACUAAAUGUACCCCCAGUCACGUGACAACCAAAACUAUGCCCUAGCAUCACCAACCACCAUUUGGUGACAGCACUAUUGUGGUUGAGAACCACCAAGAGGGUGUCAUCAAGUUCUACAUGAUCAACUUUAUGAGUAAAGGAGAAAAGAUGGAAGAGUAGUUACAGUUUCAGUUGUAUGGCUCCGAUAAUAUUUACCACAAUUUAGAGUCUCAAUUCUCAUUAUGAAUGUGUUUCUUUAACUCUUCACUUUAUAAAUGUACAUUUUUGUGAGUCAAGUCAUUGGAAAUACAUCCACCACCAAUAAUCUGCCCUUUCAAAAACUGAGCUGAAAAAAUGAAUUAAAAGCUGCACAAUUAACAUGAUUAGACAUUCUGUACAUGGAUAAUAUGUAUUUCUUUUUAAAAUUAAUAAGGCUAAUAAUAUAGUCGGAAGUCUUUUAAAUCAUCUUCACAGACAGAGUGAGACCGUUUUAAGAUUCUGCUCAUGACUCAGAAUGCAGGAGUGUUCCGAACCCUAGAAAGACAUUUUGAUUUGGAAGAGAAAGUAAAACAGACCAGGCCAUAUGGUAAUUAUCUGGAGCCCAGUUCUAGGCAGAGAACAUUUCAAGCUUUUCACUGAGGUUAUCAAAUCUGCUGUAUCUGAAGGCUCUGCAGUUUCCUGAUGGUAGGGUAUUGAGCUCUGAUCAUCUCUGGAAUAUCAGUUAGGAAAAUAGCAGCAGUUGAGAGAUUAGAGAAUUACUACUUGAAAUGACAGUAAACCUUGGGCUUGGCUAUUACCUUUCUCUUUUGGCCCUCUUUGGCUGCUUUCAUGUUUUUAAGGCACCAAAACCUUAGGUAUAAUCAUGGUAGAUUUAAUUAUUAUAAAUUUUUAUUUCAUGUACUUUUUAAAAAAAAAUCCACCCCAUGCAUUUCGUAUGUUCUAAAUUUAUUGCUGGUUACUCUCAAAUGAGAGCCAGGGCACACAUUCUCACACAAGGCACACAGAUCCCAAAAUUAGCCCAUAGAAAUUCCAUUAGCAGUGAGGCCUUUCCUGACCACACCUUAAAGUUCACAGCACAGCAUGGACCUCAUCCUCCCUCCCCGCUGGUUUCCCCACGUGCCCUUAUCCAGUGUUACUGUAUGAUGCAUUUGGUCUGUUUAUUGUCCAUCUCCGCUCCCUAGCAUGGAAGCUCCAUGAGUGUAAAGAUUUUCAUCUAGCUGCUCCCUAGAAUGGUAAUGGGGACAGAGGAGGGGCUCAAUGAGUACUGGUGGGAUGGCUGACUUGACCUUGGCCUGAACAGAUGAGAUACAAGAGGCUUUGAACCAUCUGGUCUUUGGUGCUCUUUCAGGUUGCAUGGCUGCAGAGCCCCAUGGCAUGCUGGGAAGGCAAGAGCCGAAGGCCAUCCCUUCUGCUUCACUCCGAGAUCUUCUGUUUGAGUGGCUCAGCUUGAAUCAGGCCAGACUCCUCUAGGUCUGAGCACCGACAGGAUGCCUAUUUAUGUUUGCACCUGUUUGUCAUCAGCACUAUAUUGUGGUGUGUAUGUAUCUAUGUUUGCAUAGACACAAGAAAAAUAUCCGAUUGGGUAUGAGAGGAACCCAUCUUCUAGGCAGAGUGUUUUUCUGGACCAUGGGUGGUGGCAAGGCUGGCAAAUACUUCAGACUAAGCAAACCUUGCCACUAGCAUGGUCUUCACAGAAUGACAGAAUAGAUCUGCUUAUAUAGCUUCCAUUCUAAAGAUGUUCUCUUCAUCUUUCCUGAGAGCUAUUCACUUUAAUUUUCACUCUAUCCUACCCAACAAAUAGCACUUGAAAUUGAUAGUUUAGUUUUCCAGGUUAUGGAAACCACUUAUUUCCCAGUGUAUUUUCCCUGGCAUAGUUAAGAGUAGCUAACACUAGCUGACCACUUACCAUGGGCCUGGUACUGUGUUAAAUGCUUAACAUGUAUCAUUUCACUUAAUCCUCACAAGAAUCCUUUGAAGUAGGUAGUAUUAUCAUUCUCAUGUUCAAGAUGAGCAAAGGGACACAAAAGUUAAAUAACUUGCUCAAGAUUGCACGGCAAUUGUGAAUCAUGCUCUGACUUCAGAUCCUUCUCUUUAUCACUAUUCAAUAUAGACUGGUCUACAUUUCACACCCAGAAUAUUUUAUAAGUUAUUUUUCUCCAAAUAAAGCUGGCACGGUGUAGUGACCAUUUUAUGGUAUUUUUUGCCCUUAACAGGGUUGGAAGCAUGUCAUGCUUCAAAUUCUAAGAAGUUUUUAUGAUCAAAUAAACUUGGAAAUAGUAUUAGAUAAUGUCAGUGAUGAUACUCUUUCUUAAAUCUUCUGUAAAAAGAACCACCAAAAGUACUUUGGUUUAACAGUCAAAUGAAUGGCACUGCUUUCUAAUUUAGGGUAGAAAAAAGUCUUUGUUCUUUUGCCUUUCUGUAUACAUAUAACUACAAGUGUUUUAUAGUUUAAACAAGCUCUGACAAAUCUGUGAUAACAUUCUGAGGAUAUCUCUCUGGCUAGCUAGGUUUUCAGAGCAGCACCUACAUUCACUUCUCUUUCACACCAGCGUGGCUGAGUCAGGGUUAAAAAAAAAGACACGCCUGGAAGGCCAGAUCUAAUAUAAAAGGGACCCUUCAUCCUGUACUUGUGCCUAAGUAAGGAUAGCUUAUCUAGGUUAGACUCGGCUGUAGCUGCUGGCCUACUCCACAGCCACAACAAUGCCAGAUCAGAGCUGAGUCUGUGACCUACACCACAGCUCAUGGCAAUGCCAGAUCCUUAACCCACUGGGCGAGGCCAGGGAUUGAAUCUGCGUCCUCAUGGAUGCUAGUCAGAUUCGUUUCUGCUGAGCCAGGAUGGGAACUCCUAUCUUUACAUGUAUUUAGAAUCCAGGAUUCUCAUGCCCCUCUGGACAACAAACACACAUACAUAUACCCUUCCUGCCCUGUAUUAACACUCACACUGCCUGGGAGUAUACCUUUAAGACCAUAUAUUUCUCUUUGUAUAAAGUAUAAGCUAAGCCUUAGGUGAAGUUUGUCGUGAAGAAGCUUCUAGGGCGAGCAUUGGUAUGAAAGCCUUCAACAUCUGUUGUUUGUUUCAAAUGAGAGUAUUUCUCCUGUAAAUGCACUUUUUGAGAACAACUCUUGAGUUUUACUUUCAGUAGUUGUGCUAUUAUGUAUUAAAAAUACACUUAGCACUUAGGUAUUUCUAAAGAAGUUUUGCUAUAACCGCCUUUCAUUUCAGUAUUUUUGUUGGGUUUUGUAGCCACAAUCUUCUCUGACAGUGUGGUACAUUGCCAUUAAAAAAAAAAAAAAAA
Sus scrofa (pig) is the source of this 7691-nucleotide long non-coding RNA. RefSeq lists it as uncharacterized. NCBI's taxonomy places the organism in Eukaryota, Metazoa, Chordata, Mammalia, Artiodactyla, Suidae. The record is from RefSeq and is a predicted model, not a curated record.